CCUCGUCCUAUGUGGCCAGCACAUCAUAGUGGGGACUCAUAGGAGACUGCCGGGGUCAACGCGGAGGAAGGUGGGGAUGGACGUCAAGAUCAUCAUGCCCCUUAUGUCUUGGGCUUCACGCAUGCUGCAAUGGCCAGUACAAAGGGCUGCGACACCGCAAGGUGGAGCGAAUCCCAAAAAACUGGUCUCAGUUCGGAUUGGGGUCUGCAACUCGACCCCAUGAAAUCGGAGUCGCUAGUAAUCGCAGAUCAGCAACGCUGCGGUGAAUACGUUCCCGGGCCUUGUACACACCGCCCGUCAUAGUCACGAAAGUCGGUAAGCGACCCGAAGCCGGUGGCCCAACCCUUGUGGAGGGAGCCGUCGAAGGUGGGACUGGCGAUUGGGACUAAGUCGUAACAAGGUAGCCGUACCGGAAAGUGC
RNAcentral lists this ribosomal RNA (420 nucleotides) under Terrabacter sp. 1254. Its description in RNAcentral is "bacterial SSU rRNA". It matches the Rfam family "Bacterial small subunit ribosomal RNA", at positions 1103 to 1515 of the family's 1533-position model. The record is from RNAcentral. Lineage: Bacteria; Bacillati; Actinomycetota; Actinomycetes; Micrococcales; Intrasporangiaceae.